Dipodomys ordii (Ord's kangaroo rat) is the source of this 70-nucleotide non-coding RNA. The record is from Rfam. NCBI's taxonomy places the organism in Eukaryota, Metazoa, Chordata, Mammalia, Rodentia, Heteromyidae.
GGAAAUGUGGCUCAGUAGUAGAGUGCUUGCCUACUAUGCAUGAAAUCCUGGGUUUGAUUCCUCAGUACCA